This 279-nucleotide ribosomal RNA is filed under the name uncultured methanogenic archaeon. Its description in RNAcentral is "partial 16S ribosomal RNA". It matches the Rfam family "Archaeal small subunit ribosomal RNA", at positions 1047 to 1325 of the family's 1478-position model. The record is from RNAcentral. Lineage: Archaea; Methanobacteriati; Methanobacteriota.
GAGACCCACGCCCACAGUUGCCAGCGUACUCUCCGGAGUGACGGGUACACUGUGGGGACCGCCGCUGCUAAAGCGGAGGAAGGAAUGGGCAACGGUAGGUCAGUAUGCCCCGAAUAUCCCGGGCUACACGCGAGCUACAAUGGUUGGUACAAUGGGUAUCUACCCCGAAAGGGGAUGGAAAUCUCCUAAAGCCAAUCUUAGUCCGGAUUGAGGGCUGCAACUCGCCCUCAUGAAGCUGGAAUCCGUAGUAACCGCGCGUCAUAACCGCGCAGUGAAUAC